GGGAGGUGAGGGGCGCCUCUGCCCAGCCGCCCCUACUGGGAAGUGAGGAGCCCCUGUGCCCGGCCGCCACCCCGUCUGGGAGGUGUACCCAACAGCUCAUUGAGAACGGGCCAUGAUGACAAUGGCGGUUUUGUGGAAUAGAAAGGGGGGAACGGUGGGGAAAAGAUUGAGAAAUCGGAUGGUUGCCGUGUCUGUGUAGAAAGAAGUAGACAUGGGAAACUUUUCAUUUUGUUCUGUACUAAGAAAAAUUCUUCGGCCUUGGGAUCCUGUUGAUCUGUGACUUUACCCCCAACCCUGUGCUCUCUGAAACAUGUGCUGUGUCCACUCAGGGUUAAAUGGAUUAAGGGUGGUGCAAGAUGUGCUUUGUUAAACAGACGCUUGAAGGCAGCGUGCUCGUUGAGAGUCAUCACCACUCCCUAAUCUCAAGUACCCAGGGACACAAACACUGCGGAAGGCCGCAGGGUCCUCUGCCUAGGAAAACCAGAGACCUUUGUUCACUUGUUUAUCUGCUGACCUUCCCUCCACUAUUGUCCUAUGACCCUGCCAAAUCCCCCUCUGUGAGAAACACCCAAGAAUGAUCAAUUAAAAAAAAAAAAAGAAAAAAAAAUUAGAUCUCAAACUUAUACUAUAUCCUAGUGAAAAACUUCCAAAUGGAUAAGAGAUCGAAAUGCAAAAAACAUGAAACAAUCUAAAUUCUAACACAAAACAUUGGUGAAUUCCUUUAUGACCUGGAAAGGGUCAUAUGACCUUGGUUUCUAAUUAUGACUCAAAAACAAUAAAGUUCAACAACAGAUUUUGUUGGUGAGGCUGUGGAGGAAACAAGCACUUUCACAUACUACUAAUGGAAAUGCAAAAUGGCACAAUCACAAUGAAGCUGAAUUUGGCAAAACCUAACAAAAUUAAAGAUACAUUUACCCUAUGACAUGGCAAAUCCAUUGUUAAGAUCUCCCCCAAAGACACACUUCAACAAAUAUAAAACAACAUAUGCACAAGGUUAUUCAGUGGCAUUAUUUGUAAUUACAAAAGACUGGAAACAACCCAAACAUCUAUCCUUAAAGGAACUAAUGAACAGUAGAGCACCCAUACAGUGAAGUACUAGACAGUGGUUGAAGAAAAAUAUGAAUAUUUCUCUGUACUAUUAUGUAGUGAAAUUCAAGAUAUUAUUGUUGAAAAAAGCAAGGUAUGGAACACUAUAGUUUAUUACUUUCUAUGGAAUAAAGGAUAGAAAAUUUAAAAUAUAUUUGAAUAAGUAUAUAAAUAAGUAAAGACAUAUUUAUAUGCUUAUGCACUUUGUACAUAUAAGACUGUUUAUAUACUUAUUUACAUAUAUAAAUAUAUCUAUUCAUUUACUUACUUUUAUAUAUAGAUAUAGAUAUAUAUGUUUACAAGAAACACUGGAAAUGAUAAACCAGAAAUGAAUAAAAAUGGAUCUCUAUAAAGGUUGGGAAAAAUGGAGUGGAUGGAACAGGGAUGAAAGGCAGACUUCCCUGAGUAUAACUUUUAACAUAGUUUUGACAAGUUAAAUGUUCUACAUAUUUAAAAUAUUAAAUUAGAUCAAAAUUUUAAAAAGGUAAAUCCUAAAAUUGAAAACAAACUGAAACAAAUGAACUUAACUAAAUAUCCAAUUAGUAAAAUAACCAUAAAUGAAAAGAAUUCCUUCACAAUGACUCCUGAAUAAAGGACUUUGUAUCUAUCCCUCUUAGUGAUAGAUACAGUCUAAUAAUAAAAAGAAUUGCAAAGAAAUCUUAAUUUUUACUUGCAAGCUUUAUGGUUAGUAGUAAUAUUACUAUUUGAAUUUUGGAAACAUAAAUUUGACAUCUUUUUCUUUUUUUGAGAUGGAGUCUUGUUCUGUCACCAGGCUAGAGUGCAAUGGCGCGAUCUCAGCUCACUGCAACCUCCACCUCCUGGGUUCAAGUGACUCCCCUGCCUCAGCCUCCUGAGUAGCUGGAACUACAGGCAUGCGCCACCAUGCCCGGCUAAUUUUUUGUAUUUUUUUAGUAGAGAAGGGGUUUCACCAUGUUGGCCAGGAUGGUCUCAAUCUCCUGACCAUGUGAUCUGCCCGCCUCGGCCUCCCAAAGUGCCGGGAUUAUAGGUGUGAGCCACUGCACCCGGCCAAAUUUGAUAUCUUAAAAAAUAUAUUGCUGGAUACAGCAAACAAGUAAAUAUGUUACUGGUUUUCUUUCUUUUUUUUUUUUUUUGAGACAGAGACUCGCUCUGUUGCCAGGCCAGAGUGCAGUGACUUGAUCUCGGCUCACUGCAACUUCUGUCUCCCUGGUUCAAGCGAUUCUCCUGCCUCAGCCUCCCGAAUAGCCGGGAUUACAGGUGCGUGCCACUAUGCCCAGCUAAUUUUUGCAUUUUUAGUAGAGAUAGGGUUUCACCAUGUUGGCCAGGAUGGUCUCGAUCUUUUGACCUCAUGAUCCACCCACCUCGGCCUCCCAAAGUGCUGGGAUUACAGGCGUAAGCCACCGUGCCCGGCCUUAUGUUACUGUUUUUAAGGACCCAGAUUUUCAGUGUUAAGAGAAGAGAUAAAAAUACAGAAACAAAUAAAAAAUUCUAUCAUGUUAAACUUGAAUUAGAUACUUUUAUAGUUCAUAAGUCUGAUGAUUGGGUGUCAUGCUCAUGUGUGAGACAUGCCUCCCUUAAGCCUUGUUAUGACGUCAGCAUAUUACCUGUCUAGAUAUAUUUUUUAAACACAUGAAUUAGAAAUAUAAAUACAUCAAUAUCUAUCUAUCUAUCUAUCUAUCUAUCUAUCUAUCUAAUCUAUCUAUCUAUCUCACAUUCUAGCUACAUCACUGAAAGAGCCUAGAAACACUGACACCCAGGAGCAAUGAACAGAUUUAGAGCUGAGAUCUCAGUUUCUAAAUGCCAUUUCCUACAAAAAGAACUGUGGCUACCUGGAGAAAUGAUUGACUUCCAAGUGUGGGGCACUAAAGGAGAAAGGGUAUCCUGGGAUAUCUUCCUGUGCCAGAAAGCCAGGAUACACUCAAAGUCUAAUUAACGGGGACAUAUCAAAAGGGCACAGGCCAGCUUGAAGUUUCACUAAAAUGACAGAUAAGACCCAAAUUUAAAAUUAUCUUGUCAAGCUGGAAUGCUCAACCAAACCAAUAUGAUGAAAAUUAACAGGGAUGACUGUGAAAUACUGGAUUUAGAAUUAAAAUCAGCUUUAUAGGUACAGGAUAGGAUUCAACCUGCCUGACAGCAGAUCAUGUGAAAAAAAAUCACAGAUAUUUUAAAGUUGAAUAUGAAACUAAAGUGAGAUGAGAUUACUUAAAAAACUAACCCAAUAUUACAAGCAGCACUGGAGAUAUUUAGGAUCGAGAUCAUGUGGGGUAGAAAUCUUAUACUCUACCAAAUAAGGCCUACUGAUAUUCAGUUUUAGGCACUAUAUAUUAAGAGAACUAUUCUUGACAUAAUAGCUCUCCCUCCUCCUCAUAGCAAUUUCUACUUUUUAAACACUUCCCAUAUGCCACGCACUAUAUUAGAUGCUUUUACAAUGUGUUGUCCAAUUACUCUACUGAGGUGGGUUCAAUUAUAAUCCUCAUUUUACAAGAAAAUGGAGGCUUGAAGAGAUUAAGUAAUUAUCUAUGUUAGACAGCUAACAAAGGUAACCUGUAUCUUAAAGUUGCCUGAUUCCAAAGUCUAUGGCCAGAAUGGUAAAAAGUCUGGAAAAAGGAAAAAAUCACCCAUAAAAACACCCCAUUAAAGAAAGUAAGAGGUUUUGAGCAUGGAAGAAGAAAAGAUUAUGGAAAAACUUGGAGGUAUUUUCAAAUAUUUUAAAAAGAUGACAGCUCUACUCUUUAACAACAAGCGAACUUCCUUGGGAGGUGAAGCACCUGUCAGGGCUAUUGUAGAUAUGACUUUGGCAUUGGGAGUGGAAGUUCUCCAUGGAUUCUACCUUGACAUCUGCUGCAACUCCAGUUCAGCAUGCUAUAGGCGAAAUUUCUGUGACGCUACUGAUCUCCUGCCAUACCUCUCACUUAAGCCUCAAGGGCUACAACUCUUCACUAAGCCCACACAACAUAGCUUUCUGUAACAAUAUUCCUUCUGUUCCACUGAUUCCAAAGCCAUUCCUAUUAGCAAAGGAUAGGAAAAACUAGACUAGGGAGAGGAUACGGCUGUCAAACAGAGCAGAAAGAUGCAAUCCAGGCUUCAGGUCAAGGAGAGCAGAGAUGCAGUCAGGGCCUCUGGUUAAAGAGAGGCAGCUGCAAUUAAGGCCCCAGUUGAAGAGACAGACUUGAGCAUAACAAGCAGCUAUUCUAAUUGUCAAAUAGAGCAGGCAACCAGGAUUAAGCUUAACACAUCAGAGGGAAAGGCUUCUGGCAGAAAUGAAAUGAUAAAAACCUAGCACUGAAAGAAAGACUCCGCUUUGAGAAUAUGUAGAAGCCAAGACAGAAUUCUGCAAUUAGUAAUGACCCUGAACCAAGAAGCAGGUAUUUCCAGCCCAGAUGGUGUGAAAGAGGAGCGGCAACAAGGGACACAUAUCGGCAAAUCUGGCCAGGCCCAAUACAAUUUUCCUAACAACACUGGUCAAGGGAAAGGACCCUGCAUGCCAGCAUCAGGCGCAUUCUGUGUCCUUAAAAGAAAGAGAGUGGCACACCACUAAAAUUCCAAUUUCCAACCUAAACAUCCAUUAACAGAAGACAGAAUGCAUACGUUAUAGUGCACUGCAACAAAAAAAUACUGAAGCAUUGGUUAAAAAAAAUUAAUUACCCAGUUGUACAGCCAGACCUUAUAUAUCUUUUAAAAGCAUGAUUUGCACUUACUUAAAAAAAAAAAAAAAACAACGAAAAAGUACCAGUUCAAUCCAUGAGUUUAUACUGACAGUGACAGGAUCAAUGGAUUCUACGUAAUGCCACCAGUGUCUGGGAACAAAGAGAACCUGAAAACCAAACAAAGAAUGGUUAGCACAAGAACAGGACGUUUCAUUUUUAUGUCAGAAUCAGACCCUAAUUGAGGCUGCUAGGAAAAAAAGGAAUACAAAUGAAUUCACAAUAAUAUUGCUGGAGAAAAGUAAAGUAAGAAAAAAAACCCCGCAAACCUUUUUUCCUUUUAUUCCUUUUUUAUUGACAAGUUCACAUGUUCUACAAAGGAUACUGCCAGCAUCUCUAUUCUCUUUAAUCCUGGGCCUUCUUUGUCUGCACCUAAAUCUUAGUACAUGAUUCUGA
This 5165-nucleotide long non-coding RNA is filed under the name Homo sapiens (human). Its description in RNAcentral is "HSALNT0059635". The stretch from base 2577 to 2680 matches the Rfam family "Small nucleolar RNA U13". Lineage: Eukaryota; Metazoa; Chordata; Mammalia; Primates; Hominidae. The record is from RNAcentral.